UGAUGCCGGUGGCUGUGGAGCUAGGUCACAGGCAUACACACACACACAUUCGUUCAAUGGCAAUGCACUUUGAGAAGAAAAUGUUUUGGAGAAGGGUUGAGUGAAAAACUUAUAAUGGUUUCCCCUGCACAGCCUGCCCCGGAAAGCAGGGACUAUACUGCCUAGAGGGGCAGCUGCUGUGGGUUGGAGUGUGUUUGUUUGUCCGUCCGUGUACGUGCAUAGCGGUGUCCCAGCGCCUGUGCUUGACCAGCUGGUUGUCUGUGCACGGCCGUUGCCUGUGCUCGUUCUGCACCGAGAGGUUCCCCUAGCCCGGGAGGCGGGGCCGACCCGCCCUGUCUCCGCCCAGCCGCCCGCCCCAGGGGGACUCGCUGCCGGCCCGGGCCUAGACCGCGCGCUAGACCGGGGUUUUGCGCACUGGCUGCGGACCGAGCGCCGGGCUAGGGAGACCAGCGGCUGGCGCUGGGCCGCAUGGAGUUGCUGGCGCUGCACACGCGGCGGCGGCGCGGGGCGCUGCUCCCGCAGGAGCCGGGAGAACCGGAGCGCAAACGAGUAUGCAAGAGUUUAGAGACCGUUCCAAAUGAGAGUGAUUUUUGCCACCAAUUAAAUGAAUGUGCUAUGGAUUACUGGACUAUGGAGCUGGAUUCUAAACAGAAAGGUACCACAGAACAAUUUAUUCCUCAGACUCCUAAGGAAAAGCCAAAUUCAAUGAUUUUUCAAAAUCAUGGAAGCAAAGGUACUGCCCAGCCUUGCCCAAGAUGUAUUGCAGGAGAAUCUGGACACUUCAAUCAUAUUAUGGGCUUCUAG
This 804-nucleotide long non-coding RNA is filed under the name Chrysemys picta bellii (western painted turtle). RNAcentral describes it as "lncRNA (ENSCPBG00000007163.1)". Lineage: Eukaryota; Metazoa; Chordata; Testudines; Emydidae. The record is from RNAcentral.